UGCCUCCAACCCUCUUAUGGCCCAAGCUGGUGGAAGCCUCCUCAUAGGUCUCUGGACCCUCCAUCGCCGCUGUAGCAUCAACCUCUGACGCAUACACCUCUAGGCCAACUCCUGGUGCUCGCUCACCACUGCCUGAGCAACUAGGAAACUCCACCUCCCUCUGCACCUCCCUACCUAGAGCCUGUGCCAUGGCCAUGGACUUUUUCAUCAUCC
RNAcentral lists this long non-coding RNA (213 nucleotides) under Elaeis guineensis (African oil palm). Its description in RNAcentral is "long non-coding RNA (EGUI_LNC029443)". The record is from RNAcentral. Lineage: Eukaryota; Viridiplantae; Streptophyta; Magnoliopsida; Arecales; Arecaceae.